CAAUAGCGUAUAUUUAAGUUGUUGCAGUUAAAAAGCUCGUAGUUGGAUUUCGGAUGGGACUUGCCGGUCCGUCGUUUCGAUGUGCACUGGCCAGUCCUAUCUUGUUGUCGGGGACUAGCUCCUGGGCUUCACUGUCCGGGACUAGGAGCUGACGAGGUUACUUUGAGUAAAUUAGAGUGUUCAAAGCAAGCCUACGCUCUGAAUACAUUAGCAUGGAAUAACACGAUAGGACUCUGGCUUAUCUUGUUGGUCUGUGAGACCAGAGUAAUGAUUAAGAGGGACAGUCGGGGGCAUUCGUAUUUCAUUGUCAGAGGUGAAAUUCUUGGAUUUAUGAAAGACGAACUUCUGCGAAAGCAAUUGUCAAGGAUGUUUUCAUUA
This 378-nucleotide ribosomal RNA is filed under the name uncultured eukaryote. RNAcentral's name for it is "partial 18S ribosomal RNA". It matches the Rfam family "Eukaryotic small subunit ribosomal RNA", at positions 592 to 975 of the family's 1831-position model. The record is from RNAcentral.